Molecule: ribosomal RNA, 179 nt
Filed under: uncultured bacterium
Lineage: Bacteria
Description: partial 16S ribosomal RNA
Rfam family: Bacterial small subunit ribosomal RNA
Source: RNAcentral
GACUCCACGAAGCUGGAUUCGCUAGUAAUCGCGCAUCAGCCACGGCGCGGUGAAUACGUUCCCGGGCCUUGUACACACCGCCCGUCAAGCCAUGGGAGCCGGGGGUACCUGAAGUGCGUAACCGCGAGGAGCGCCCUAGGGUAAAACUGGUGACUGGGGCUAAGUCGUAACAAGGUACC